Long non-coding RNA from Eriocheir sinensis (Chinese mitten crab), 395 nucleotides. RefSeq lists it as uncharacterized. The record is from RefSeq and is a predicted model, not a curated record. The transcript has 2 exons. Lineage: Eukaryota; Metazoa; Arthropoda; Malacostraca; Decapoda; Varunidae.
AGAGAGAGAGAGAUCGGAUGGUUAGGUUGUGCUUCAUUGCAUCCUCGGAGGUAUGGGAAAAAAAAUAUAUUCUCCCUUGCUUAUAAAUGCUACAUACCAAUUGUGAGCCUGAGGGAUAAUUCAUACACAGCAAGUUGUACAGAUGUUCUAUUAGCUUUAUUUCGUCUUUGCACUCAAUAAAAAUCUCGGAGGUUAUGUUACAAUGAAGGAAGGAAUACUUUAACAACUUCGUGACGUGAGAGGAUGGGAUAUUUUAUGGAGGAAGAGGAGGAGGAAGAGGAUAUAAAAGGAUACCAGUGUCUCUCCAUGCAGUAGAGGAGGAGGAGGAGAAGAAAAAGAGGAGGAGGAGGAGGAGGACUUGAAAGGAUACCAGUGUCUCUCCAUGCAGUAGAGGA